GUGCACCACUCCCACGGUGCGCCAUUAGUAAAAAAAAAUUAAUUUUUUUCAAAACUACUAAUGGCGCACCGUGGGAGUGGUGCGC
Molecule: microRNA precursor, 85 nt
Filed under: Triticum aestivum (bread wheat)
Lineage: Eukaryota; Viridiplantae; Streptophyta; Magnoliopsida; Poales; Poaceae
Also listed under: 1 other name
Description: mir-160 microRNA precursor family
Rfam family: mir-160 microRNA precursor family
About the family: The hairpin precursors (represented here) are predicted based on base pairing and cross-species conservation -- their extents are not known. In this case the mature sequence is excised from the 5' arm of the hairpin.
Source: Rfam by way of RNAcentral